This 253-nucleotide ribosomal RNA is filed under the name uncultured bacterium. RNAcentral describes it as "partial 16S ribosomal RNA". It matches the Rfam family "Bacterial small subunit ribosomal RNA", at positions 524 to 776 of the family's 1533-position model. The record is from RNAcentral.
GACAGAGGUGCCAAGCGUUAGGCGGAAUCACUGGGCUUAAAGGGUGCGUAGGCGGUCCGCCAAGUGCUUUGUGAAAUCCCCGAGCUCAACUCGGGAACUGCAGGGCAAACUGGAGGACUUGAAGCAGGUAGGGGCUGGAAGAACAGUAGGUGGAGCGGUGAAAUGCGUAGAUAUCUACUGGAAUGCCGAUGGGGAAGCCGUCCAGCUGGGCCUGUCUUGACGCUGAGGCACGAAAGCGUGGGGAGCAAACAGG